AGUCGCCUUGCAUACUAUACAAAUACUACAUCAACUCUUCAGCUUCAACUGUUGAUAGCGGGUGACGUGAACCCGAACCCUGGGCCUAUUAGCAAUGACUUGACCUUGGAAAAGCAGAACCAUGCAUCAACUACCUUACCUCCAAACAACCCGCGAAAAUACAGCAGGUAUGAACUUCUACAGCUUAAUGUACCUGGACAACAGAGAACUGAACUCCAGAGAGAGAGUCAUGGCUGAAGGAAGACGAUCAAGUCGUCAUUGGAGAAUGCACACCACCGGGUUACACGUUUCAUAGUUCACCUCGAAAAACUGGUCAUGGAGGAGGUAUCGCAGUCCUCUUUAAGUCAGAGCUUAAUCUAACUACAAAGCCAGUCUCUAACGUCACAACAUUUGAAUCCGUUCAUGUUAUCAGCAGGACAUCGACACUUCACAUCGUUGUCAUCUACCGUCCACCACCUUCGACUGCAAAUGGACUAACUGUUCCAGACUUCCUGAAUGAGUUUGAGAGUUUUCUAACCGAUUUAUCAGUCCUUCCAGGCAAAUUACUUGUGCUUGGAGACUUCAACUUCCACGUGGAUCUACCUGCCAAACCAGACGUCAGUGCCUUUCUUCAAGCGACAUCCUCCGCCAGUCUUCAUCAGCAUGUCAUAGGUCCAACUCAUUCGCAUGGUCACACAUUGGACUUGGUAUUCACAAGAGAGACGGAAUCCUUAAUUAAGAAAUGUAAUAUCUAUGAUGUACAAAUGUCUGAUCAUUUUGUUAUUGAUGUUCAAUUAGACAUACCUUUACCGCAACCACAAAAGAUUCUCACAAUAUCUCGAAAUUUUAAAGCAAUCAACAAGGAAAUAUUCUUGACAGCUUUGUGUGAGUCAAUUUUGGAUUUUAACCACCAAGGAGAUCCUGAAUCUGGGUUCAAGUGGUACAAUGAAACUAUGCAAUCACUUCUGGACGAAUCUGCCCCUCCAACCUCAAAAGAACGCCCUGUACGACGAAGGAUGCUGUGGUACAACGAUGACAUUCAUUUGGCACGUCGUGAGAAACGUCGAGCAGAACGAAAA
Long non-coding RNA from Strongylocentrotus purpuratus (purple sea urchin), 1058 nucleotides. RefSeq lists it as uncharacterized. The record is from RefSeq and is a predicted model, not a curated record. Lineage: Eukaryota; Metazoa; Echinodermata; Echinoidea; Camarodonta; Strongylocentrotidae. The transcript is spliced from 2 exons.